Molecule: ribosomal RNA, 582 nt
Filed under: uncultured Bacteroidota bacterium
Lineage: Bacteria; Pseudomonadati; Bacteroidota
Description: bacterial SSU rRNA
Rfam family: Bacterial small subunit ribosomal RNA
Source: RNAcentral
UCCUACGGGAGGCAGCAGUAAGGAAUAUUGGACAAUGGAGGCAACUCUGAUCCAGCCAUGCCGCGUGAAGGAUUAAGGCCCUAUGGGUUGUAAACUUCUUUUAGACGGGACAAAACCCCUUUACGUGUAAAGGGUUGAUGGUACUGUCAGAAUAAGCAUCGGCUAACUUCGUGCCAGCAGCCGCGGUAAUACGAAGGAUGCAAGCGUUAUCCGGAAUUAUUGGGUUUAAAGGGUGCGUAGGCGGACUAAUAAGUCAGUGGUGAAAGCCUGCAGCUUAACUGCAGAAUUGCCGUUGAUACUGUUAGUCUUGAGUACAGUUGAGGUAGGCGGAAUGUGUCAUGUAGCGGUGAAAUGCUUAGAUAUGACACAGAACACCGAUGGCGAAGGCAGGUCCCUGGGCUGAUACUGACGCUCAUGCACGAAAGCGUGGGGAGCAAACAGGAUUAGAUACCCUGGUAGUCCACGCCCUAAACGAUGUCGACUGGUUGUUGGGGGUUUGACACUCUCAGUAACGAAGCUAACGCGUGAAGUCGACCGCCUGGGGAGUACGGCCGCAAGGUUAAAACUCAAAUGAAUUGACGG